UCGGGAAUUUUGGGCAAUGGGCGAAAGCCUGACCCAGCAACGCCGCGUGAAGGAUGAAGUAUUUCGGUAUGUAAACUUCGAAAGAAUAGGAAGAAUAAAUGACGGUACUAUUUAUAAGGUCCGGCUAACUACGUGCCAGCAGCCGCGGUAAUACGUAGGGACCAAGCGUUGUCCGGAAUCAUUGGGUUUAAAGGGUCCGUAGGCGGUUAGAUAAGUCAGUGGUGAAAGCCCAUCGCUCAACGGUGGAACGGCCAUUGAUACUGUCUGACUUGAAUUAUUAGGAAGUAACUAGAAUAUGUAGUGUAGCGGUGAAAUGCUUAGAGAUUACAUGGAAUACCAAUUGCGAAGGCAGGUUACUACUAAUGGAUUGACGCUGAUGGACGAAAGCGUGGGUAGCGAACAGGAUUAGAUACCCCCGUAGUCCCUGAGCGGGCUGGCAAGGCGCAU
This 447-nucleotide ribosomal RNA is filed under the name uncultured bacterium. Its description in RNAcentral is "bacterial SSU rRNA". It matches the Rfam family "Bacterial small subunit ribosomal RNA", at positions 355 to 825 of the family's 1533-position model. The record is from RNAcentral.